ACGGAAGGCAGCAGUGGGGAAUAUUGCACAAUGGGGGAAACCCUGAUGCAGCGACGCCGCGUGAGUGAAGAAGUAUUUCGGUAUGUAAAGCUCUAUCAGCAGGGAAGAUAAUGACGGUACCUGACUAAGAAGCCCCGGCUAACUACGUGCCAGCAGCCGCGGUAAUACGUAGGGGGCAAGCGUUAUCCGGAUUUACUGGGUGUAAAGGGUGCGUAGGUGGCAAGGCAAGUCAGAUGUGAAAGCCCGGGGCUCAACCCCGGUAUUGCAUUUGAAACUGUUUAGCUAGAGUGCAGGAGAGGUAAGUGGAAUUCCUAGUGUAGCGGUGAAAUGCGUAGAUAUUAGGAGGAACACCAGUGGCGAAGGCGGCUUACUGGACUGUAACUGACACUGAGGCACGAAAGCGUGGGGAGCAAACAGGAUUAGAUACCCUGGUA
RNAcentral lists this ribosomal RNA (434 nucleotides) under uncultured bacterium. RNAcentral's name for it is "partial 16S ribosomal RNA". It matches the Rfam family "Bacterial small subunit ribosomal RNA", at positions 341 to 792 of the family's 1533-position model. The record is from RNAcentral.